RNAcentral lists this small RNA (794 nucleotides) under Pongo abelii (Sumatran orangutan). RNAcentral's name for it is "retained intron". Lineage: Eukaryota; Metazoa; Chordata; Mammalia; Primates; Hominidae. The record is from RNAcentral.
AAUAAAGAGCCUGAACCCAGCUGGGGAAGGUUGGCAGGUGUGAGAAAGAACAUAGGCACAGGCUGUGCAGAUCCUGGGGAGACACUUGCUUGGACUUCUUGGGAGGGAUAUUUUAAGCAAGAGACUGACAUUUAGUGCCUGAAACUCAGAGCAAGGAACACAAGAAGUUGGUGUUUGACUUUGACCAAACCCUAAAUUCAGACCAGCCCUAGUAAGCAACUCAGGAUUCAGAUAAACCAGUACGGCCAGGUGCUAGACACAGCUGUGAACAGCAAAAGCACUCUGGAAUAUUACACAGUUGAUUUCUAGCUGUGGUUGUAACAUAGCUGAGUGGCAAAUUAGUUUCUCAGCGCUUCUGUUUACUUGGUAAACCCUCACCCUGUUGAGAAAGUUGAAUGAACAGAUGAGGAAGCUGGAAGCUGUCAAGCCCUGCCUAGAGCCCAGUGACCUAGAGGCUUCCUUCUAAACUGGACUGUUAGUAGGGAAUCUGGUUGAUAUGAGUUUGGGGCCUAGAGAAUACUUUUAUACUUUUUUUUUUUUCUUUAAACAUUAGUCAACUGUAGUAGUGAGGAGGAGAGAAAGAUUAGAACAAGGAGUUUAAGCACUUAAAAAAUCCCAACUCUAUUCUUUCUCUGCAGCACCCUCAUCACAUGUGUGGAUUCUGGGAUUCUCAGAGUCUGGCAUGACAAGGACAAGGACACAUCCUCUGACCCACUCCUGGAACUGAGAGUGGGCCCUGGGGUGUGUAGGAUGCGCCAAGACCCAGCACACCCCCAUGUGGUUGCCACAGGUGG